This 69-nucleotide transfer RNA is filed under the name Epinephelus fasciatus (blacktip grouper). RNAcentral describes it as "tRNA-Pro". It matches the Rfam family "tRNA". Rfam says of the family: Transfer RNA (tRNA) molecules are approximately 80 nucleotides in length. Their secondary structure includes four short double-helical elements and three loops (D, anti-codon, and T loops). The record is from RNAcentral. Lineage: Eukaryota; Metazoa; Chordata; Actinopteri; Perciformes; Serranidae.
CAAAAAGUAGUUUAAUUUAGAAUUCUAGCUUUGGGAGUUAGCGGUAGGAGUUAAAAUCUCCUCUUUUUG